Molecule: ribosomal RNA, 567 nt
Filed under: uncultured bacterium
Lineage: Bacteria
Description: bacterial SSU rRNA
Rfam family: Bacterial small subunit ribosomal RNA
Source: RNAcentral
CCUACGGGAGGCAGCAGUGGGGAAUAUUGCACAAUGGGCGCAAGCCUGAUGCAGCAACGCCGCGUGAGGGACGACGGCCUUCGGGUUGUAAACCUCUUUUAGUAGGGAAGAAGCGAAAGUGACGGUACCUGCAGAAAAAGCACCGGCUAACUACGUGCCAGCAGCCGCGGUAAUACGUAGGGUGCAAGCGUUAUCCGGAAUUAUUGGGCGUAAAGAGCUCGUAGGCGGUUUGUCGCGUCUGCUGUGAAAACUGGAGGCUCAACCUCCAGCCUGCAGUGGGUACGGGCAGGCUAGAGUGCGGUAGGGGAGAUUGGAAUUCCUGGUGUAGCGGUGGAAUGCGCAGAUAUCAGGAGGAACACCGAUGGCGAAGGCAGAUCUCUGGGCCGUAACUGACGCUGAGGAGCGAAAGCAUGGGGAGCGAACAGGAUUAGAUACCCUGGUAGUCCAUGCCGUAAACGUUGGGAACUAGAUGUAGGGACCAUUCCACGGUUUCUGUGUCGCAGCUAACGCAUUAAGUUCCCCGCCUGGGGAUACGGCCGCAAGGCUAAAACUCAAAUGAAUUGACGG